GCAGACACGAUUGGUGUUUUAACAUGGCUCAACCGGCUAACAGCAACUCCUGGCCUUGUCACCGCCAGCAGCUCAUUGGCUCCCCGUAUCAGUAUUUGGAACCCAGUGCAGGGGGCCGGCUCUUGCCCGCCUGCGCAAUCCUUCCUAACCUUGGUAGUUCCCCAAGUUAGCACAUCCAUCCUCCAAACAACAGCCUUCCAGAACAACCCCACGGUGGACUCCGCGGGACUGCCCGACUGACGAAGAGCUCUCGACGGAGGGGUUGGAAAACGUCAGAGGACAGUUAUGGGUUUUUUUUUCCUUUGGCGAGCCACGACCCCGCAAGAUCCUGAUACUGGCCAGCUCCUUACUCUGUAUGUAUCCUGCCCGUAAUGGGAUAUAUAUGUAAAGGCGACGCCCAAGUUUUGUCACUAAUGUAUGUGGGAAUCGAGUUUGUUGUCAGUACAACUAUACUCGAUUGCUAAAUGUGAAAAUCAUGGACUCUGCACAUGAACCAGCCACAAACAGCACUUAGCCCAAGCCGCAUUCAAUAACGAAGUCAUGACAUGCAGAACUGAGUCUUUUUUUUUUCAUCUUUAUUGAUCCAUUCAAACACUGCAGCAAGGAGUCUAUGGAUUUAAUUACUGUGCGGAUUAGGAAGAAAAGAAUAAGAAAAAGGAAAAAGAAAACCAGGGACAGAAACUUAGACGGGAACGGAAAUCGGCCAUUGACAGAGGCAGAAAACAAACGGAGACAAAAGAAGAUGAACUCCAUGUAACAGCAGUGAGUUUGCAAACCUACCUCUACAUUGUAUAUAUGUAGAUAUCCAUCCAGAAACCCAGUAUCUCUUUCUUUCCUUUGCGUGCAUGUACCCGACUUGUCGAUCAAGUCGGAAUACUGGAUUAGCGCUUUGCAAUAGUUAAUACCUUUGGUAAAAAAAAACCGGGGUACGAGACAAGCGUUGUCCCGAAGCCUGUGGCAGGGUUAAUAGUAGAGAUUGGAGUCGAACAGAGGGCU
Molecule: small RNA, 996 nt
Filed under: Histoplasma capsulatum
Lineage: Eukaryota; Fungi; Ascomycota; Eurotiomycetes; Onygenales; Ajellomycetaceae
Also listed under: 1 other name
Description: hypothetical RNA
Source: RNAcentral